RNAcentral lists this ribosomal RNA (444 nucleotides) under uncultured bacterium. RNAcentral describes it as "SSU rRNA". It matches the Rfam family "Bacterial small subunit ribosomal RNA", at positions 26 to 518 of the family's 1533-position model. The record is from RNAcentral.
AGAACGAACGCUGGCGGCAGGCUUAACACAUGCAAGUCGAGCGCUGUAGCAAUACAGAGCGGCAGACGGGUGAGUAACGCGUGGGAACAUACCCCAAGGUUCGGAAUAACUCAGGGAAACUUGAGCUAAUACCGGAUAUCUCCGAGAGGAGAAAGAUUUAUCGCCAUGGGAUUGGCCCGCGUUCGAUUAGCUUGUUGGUGAGGUAAAGGCUCACCAAGGCUACGAUCAGUAGCUGGUCUGAGAGGAUGGCCAGCCACAUUGGGACUGAGACACGGCCCAAACUCCUACGGGAGGCAGCAGUGGGAAUCUUGCGCAAUGGGGGAAACCCUGACGCAGCCAUGCCGCGUGGAUGAUGAAGGUCUUAGGAUUGUAAAAUCCUUUCAGCGGGGACGAUAAUGACGGUACCCGCAGAAGAAGCCCCGGCUAACUUCGCGCAGCAGCCGC